This 82-nucleotide transfer RNA is filed under the name Leptolyngbya sp. 'hensonii'. It matches the Rfam family "tRNA". From Rfam's summary of the family: Transfer RNA (tRNA) molecules are approximately 80 nucleotides in length. Their secondary structure includes four short double-helical elements and three loops (D, anti-codon, and T loops). The record is from Rfam by way of RNAcentral. Lineage: Bacteria; Bacillati; Cyanobacteriota; Cyanophyceae; Leptolyngbyales; Leptolyngbyaceae.
GGGCGGGUGGCGAAACUGGUAGACGCAUCAGACUCAAAAUCUGACGCCGCAAGGUAUGGGAGUUCGAUUCUCCCCCUGCCCA